UAAGCGGAGGAAAAGAAACCAACAGGGAUUGCCUCAGUAGCGGCGAGUGAAGCGGCAAAAGCUCAAAUUUGAAAUCUGGCGUCUUUGGCGUCCGAGUUGUAAUUUGAAGAAGGUAUCUUUGGGCCCGGCUCUUGUCUAUGUUCCUUGGAACAGGACGUCACAGAGGGUGAGAAUCCCGUGCGAUGAGAUGGCCCGGGUCUAUGUAAAGUUCCUUCGACGAGUCGAGUUGUUUGGGAAUGCAGCUCUAAGUGGGUGGUAAAUUCCAUCUAAAGCUAAAUAUUGGCGAGAGACCGAUAGCGAACAAGUACAGUGAUGGAAAGAUGAAAAGAACUUUGAAAAGAGAGUGAAAAAGUACGUGAAAUUGUUGAAAGGGAAGGGCUUGAGAUCAGACUUGGUAUUUUGCAAGUUACUCUUUCGGGGGUGGCCUCUGCGGUUUACCGGGCCAGCAUCGGUUUGGAGCGGUAGGAUAAUGGCGGGGGAAUGUGGCACGACUUUGGUUGUGUGUUAUAGCCUCUGACGAUACUGCCAGCCUAGACCGAGGACUGCGGUUUUUACCUAGGAUGUUGGCAUAAUGAUCUUAAGUCGCCCGUCUUG
RNAcentral lists this ribosomal RNA (594 nucleotides) under Candida dubliniensis. Its description in RNAcentral is "eukaryotic LSU rRNA". It matches the Rfam family "Eukaryotic large subunit ribosomal RNA", at positions 47 to 656 of the family's 3401-position model. The record is from RNAcentral. Lineage: Eukaryota; Fungi; Ascomycota; Pichiomycetes; Serinales; Debaryomycetaceae.